GACGAACGCUGGCGGCGUGCCUAACACAUGCAAGUCGAGCGGAGAUAUAUAGAAGGUUUACCGGAAAUAUAUCUUAGCGGCGGACGGGUGAGUAACGCGUGGGCAACCUGCCUCAUACAGGGGGAUAACACAGGGAAACUUGCGCUAAUACCGCAUGAUAUCAUUGUAUGGCAUCAUACGAUGAUCAAAGGAGCAAUCCGGUAUGAGAUGGGCCCGCGUCCGAUUAGCUAGUUGGUGAGGUAACGGCUCACCAAGGCGACGAUCGGUAGCCGAACUGAGAGGUUGAUCGGCCACAUUGGGACUGAGACACGGCCCAGACUCCUACGGGAGGCAGCAGUGGGGAAUAUUGCGCAAUGGGGGAAACCCUGACGCAGCAACGCCGCGUGAAGGAAGAAGGCCUUCGGGUUGUAACUUCUUUGAUUGGGGACGAAGAAAGUGACUGUACCAAAAACAAGACCACGGCUAACUACGUGCCAGCCGCCGCGGUAAAACCCUCGUCUCUAC
RNAcentral lists this ribosomal RNA (504 nucleotides) under uncultured bacterium. RNAcentral's name for it is "bacterial SSU rRNA". It matches the Rfam family "Bacterial small subunit ribosomal RNA", at positions 28 to 538 of the family's 1533-position model. The record is from RNAcentral.